GAUGAACGCUGGCGGCGUGCCUAAUACAUGCAAGUCGAGCGAACAGACGAGGAGCUUGCUCCUUCGACGUUAGCGGCGGACGGGUGAGUAACACGUAGGUAACCUACCUAUAAGACUGGGAUAACUUCGGGAAACCGGAGCUAAUACCGGAUAAUAUUUCGAACCGCAUGGUUCGAUAGUGAAAGAUGGCUUUGCUAUCACUUAUAGAUGGACCUGCGCCGUAUUAGCUAGUUGGUAAGGUAACGGCUUACUAAGGCAACGAUACGUAGCCGACCUGAGAGGGUGAUCGGCCACACUGGAACUGAGACACGGUCCAGACUCCUACGGGAGGCAGCAGUAGGGAAUCUUCCGCAAUGGGCGAAAGCCUGACGGAGCAACGCCGCGUGAGUGAUGAAGGUCUUCGGAUCGUAAAACUCUGUUAUUAGGGAAGAACAAACGUGUAAGUAACUGUGCACGUCUUGACGGUACCUAAUCAGAAAGCCACGGCUAACUACGUG
RNAcentral lists this ribosomal RNA (497 nucleotides) under uncultured bacterium. RNAcentral's name for it is "partial 16S ribosomal RNA". It matches the Rfam family "Bacterial small subunit ribosomal RNA", at positions 28 to 507 of the family's 1533-position model. The record is from RNAcentral.